ACGCGAAACCCUAAUAAGGGUCAAGUUACAGUGGUUUGUAACUUCUGACGAGCAGCUAAAA
This 61-nucleotide non-coding RNA is filed under the name Bacteroidota bacterium. Lineage: Bacteria; Pseudomonadati; Bacteroidota. The record is from RNAcentral.